This 165-nucleotide ribosomal RNA is filed under the name uncultured Desulfocapsa sp. RNAcentral describes it as "partial 16S ribosomal RNA". It matches the Rfam family "Bacterial small subunit ribosomal RNA", at positions 1220 to 1382 of the family's 1533-position model. Lineage: Bacteria; Pseudomonadati; Thermodesulfobacteriota; Desulfobulbia; Desulfobulbales; Desulfocapsaceae. The record is from RNAcentral.
ACGUACUACAAUGGCCGGUACAAAGGGCAGCGACACAGGCGAUGUGAAGCGAAUCCCGAAAAGCCGGUCUCAGUCCGGAUUGGAGUCUGCAACUCGACUCCAUGGAAGUUGGAAUCGCUAGUAAUCGCGGAUCAGCACGCCGCGGUGAAUACGUUCCCGGGCCUU